This 253-nucleotide ribosomal RNA is filed under the name uncultured Oscillospira sp. Its description in RNAcentral is "partial 16S ribosomal RNA". It matches the Rfam family "Bacterial small subunit ribosomal RNA", at positions 524 to 776 of the family's 1533-position model. The record is from RNAcentral. Lineage: Bacteria; Bacillati; Bacillota; Clostridia; Eubacteriales; Oscillospiraceae.
UACGGAGGGUGCAAGCGUUACUCGGAAUCACUGGGCGUAAAGAGCGCGUAGGCGGGAUAGCAAGUCAGAUGUGAAAUCCUAUGGCUUAACCAUAGAACUGCAUUUGAAACUGUAGUUCUUGAGUGAUGGAGAGGCAGGCGGAAUUCCGUGUGUAGCGGUGAAAUGCGUAGAUAUACGGAGGAACACCAGUGGCGAAGGCGGCCUGCUGGACAUUAACUGACGCUGAGGCGCGAAAGCGUGGGGAGCAAACAGG